Chiroxiphia lanceolata (lance-tailed manakin) is the source of this 2431-nucleotide long non-coding RNA. RefSeq lists it as uncharacterized. The record is from RefSeq and is a predicted model, not a curated record. The transcript is spliced from 3 exons. Lineage: Eukaryota; Metazoa; Chordata; Aves; Passeriformes; Pipridae.
AAAUAUUUCAUCUGUACUCCUUCAGUAAAUUCAUGAAGAACUAAGAAGGGCUAUUUUGAUAGGCAUUGAUACUUGAAAUGUUUACUGCUGUCGUUGUCAUCGCUCCUUGAAUCCCUUUGUUUUUCAUCCUGCCCCAAAUUUUCAUUACCUUCUUCUGAUUUUAUCUUUUCAAAUUCAGUAAAGGCUUUGCUCUUGGGACCUUUCAAAAAUUCAGUAAAGGCUUUGCUCCUGGGACCUUGUCUUUCUGUUUGCUUUAUGAAAUACCUGUCCUUUUUAAGUAUGCUGCAAAAUAACAAUAGUAUCCUUAGGCAUGAAAUGGCUUGAGGUCCUCAGCUCUUUCCACUGGAUUCUUUUAGCUGGGAAGACGAGUCAUUUAUCAUCUCUGGAGAAAAGAGACAUGAGCACCAGAAGAGAGGUUUUAUAGGAUCAGCUGAUGUCUGUGUGCUCUAAGAGUAACAGAGGAAGCAGAGGUUCCUCAGGGGCUGCAGAAAGCUCUGCCAGUGGUUGUACCUGUUUAGGAAAACAUGCCUCUUAAAUGAAAGCAUGCAUUUGGUGAAUAAGUUGCAGGCUGCCUCACAUCUUGGCUCAGUUUGGGGCAUAUGGUUUAGUUGAGAGGGAGAGAUUUUUACCUGAGUGUUUUGUGACGUAGCUACCAUCUUGGUGCAGAGCUACUGUCUUUACUUUUCUUUGUAUAUCAUUUUUCCAAUUUAUCUUCAUUUUCUGUAUUGGCAAUGAACUGAGUUGAAUUAACUUGUGUUUUUUUUAAAUGGCAAGACUAAGAUUCACCAUGUGGUUAGCUUAUGUGUGGUUAAUUGCCUAUAAUGCUUUAUCAGAAUAGUAACUGUGAACUGGGUGGAUAAAAUAAUGUUAAUAUAUGUAACUUUGGUGACUUUCUUCAGUGUUUGAUUUCUGCUGCUCUCUCUGACUGAACUUUCUGAUCAUUUGCGAUGGAACUUGCAGAAAUUAAAAAAAAAAAAAUUAAAAAAAAAUUUAUAACACAGUAUACUGACAAGUUUAGAAAGCCAGAGUUGGUCUGGGUUUCUCUGUUUUCAUGGGGGCCAGGUUGGGAGGAGGCACUGGUUGCACUGAGGUAUCAGUCCAUAGAAGUGAGUAUGUAUCAUCCAUAGUGCUACAUAUAACCAUUAGUCUGUCUCUUCCAGGGUGAAUGUGUACUGGGUUUCGUUAUGUGCUGAUUAUGGGGUACUGGUAAGGUCCAAGUGUUAUCUGUGGAUUAGGAAAGAAUUUGUGAAGCCUCAAAAAUAGCUACUGUGUAUAAGCCUCCUGGUAAGUUUCUGUGUACCUCCUAGUGCCAGGUACGAGCCUCAUCUGCAUGAUGAUGCCAGCUUCAAGAACAUUCAUGCUGUCUUGGCGCCUCAGGGAGAAAGGAUGUGUGCUUCAAGGCUGGGUUUCAACCGAGGACACAGCAUCUCGUCUACAUACAGAGGGGCUUUGCUGUAUUAUAUCUCUGUGUACACAUAUCAUGGUGCAUUCUGGUUUGAGAUUAGGCUUGUGCCCUAGACACCUGCAGGGCUGGUGUAUCUCAGAGGUAAACACUUUUUAUCAUGAAAUACGGGUAAUUGGAUGGCUUCAACACUGAACAGACAGCUGUGUAUUUAAAUGUGACCUUAUACCCAGUCAGUUCAUAACCUGCAUUUUAAAUAUGGUAUUUAGGUAAAUGUUUCACUGAGCUUGAGGAAUUGUUAAAACCAACACCACAAGGGUAUGCUAAUGUAAUUAGAUGACUUGCAGUGUAUUUUGCCUUGUUUGGGCUCAGUUGCAGUUCAACCAGAUGCAAAAAUCUGUAGACAGUAACUGAAACAAGCCUUGCCGGACAAAGGUGAGAUCCACAUGUCAAAGGUGGUGGUAGAGACAGCUGCCAGAAGAUUUGCCAGUGAGACUUCGCAUUUCCAGUUGAGAGAGGACCUUGAACGAGGUUUUAAAGCAGUAAGUACAACUGGGGCAUGUCCAUGAGAACUUGGCAUCCAUUGUUAGGCUGCUGGGGUGGGGGUUUUUUAUUAAUAGGAGGUUGUUCACUGUGUGUUGAAGUUAUAGUGCUACAGGAGGAGAGGCUCCAAAUGCCCAAUCUAUGCCACGUUUAUGCAGCUGGAGUGAAUCAGUGUUACUUUGUCCUUUUCCUACUUGAAGGUGCUGUGUAGAUGUCAAGUCCCAUUCAGUAAAUGAUGCAAGGAUUUGGAAAGCAGAAGAAUGGGUAGAGAUGGUGCCCUGCCAGUAAUUGCUGGAAGCGGAGGAGAAGGGAGCGGUAGGAUACUGGCACGUGGAGAAGUGCAGAGAUAUUCCUACUCUGGCUGAUUGUUUUUAAUAAAGUUAUUUUUAUAGUAAUUGAACAUUGUCUCAUGAUCCCGUUUCCUGCAUCAAUUUAUCCUCGUUUCGUACAUGUCUCUGCUGAAAAACGCUGUUUAUCCAGUUGCCA